CCUCUUCCUCAAUGAAAAGGUUACGAGGACGUGGAUAGUAUCUAUGCAUCUAAUGAAGACUUUAAGAACAUGAAAGAGAAAGAAAGGGUUAGAGGGACUCAUCUGCUGGAAUACUUUGUCAGUAGGUGUAAUGAAAUUGGGGUGUCCUGUCAAGCAUGGAUUAGGCAGGGCGACCCCAAAGAUGUGAUAUUGAAUGAGGUGAAACGGCUACGUCCAGAUUUACUAGUUGUGGGAAGCAGAGGUCUUGGACCUUUCCAAAAGUAUGUGCUUGGUCUC
Long non-coding RNA from Lathyrus oleraceus (garden pea), 276 nucleotides. RefSeq lists it as uncharacterized. The transcript has 3 exons. The record is from RefSeq and is a predicted model, not a curated record. NCBI's taxonomy places the organism in Eukaryota, Viridiplantae, Streptophyta, Magnoliopsida, Fabales, Fabaceae.